Long non-coding RNA from Actinia tenebrosa (Australian red waratah sea anemone), 382 nucleotides. RefSeq lists it as uncharacterized. The record is from RefSeq and is a predicted model, not a curated record. Lineage: Eukaryota; Metazoa; Cnidaria; Anthozoa; Actiniaria; Actiniidae.
UGUGCAAUACUCAAGGGAAUAACAAAACGUCGGACAUUAAUUAGAAAACACAGACCAAUUUCAAAAUUCUCUUGAAAGCAAGUGCGACCACAAAAAGAGUUUCUGGAUCAGUGUUUUGACUUCCACAAGUUAGUGUUGUCCCUCGGGGAUUCGUCGUUACAGCUUAUCAAGACUUUGUGUUAAUUUCGAGUCAGUUGGCACUCGUCCUUCGUUCGGUCCUACACAAAUGGAGCCCGAGGAGCCCAAACGAGAUGCAUGCGAGAAGGCUCCAGUCACAGAUGAGGAUUGAGAAUUACAACUGCUCCCUGGAGCGACGCUGUUGGUGCUUAAAGAAAUCUUCACAUGGGAUCUCGUGAGGGAAAGGUCGACCUUCAAGGUCAGA